Long non-coding RNA from Cicer arietinum (chickpea), 2894 nucleotides. RefSeq lists it as uncharacterized. NCBI's taxonomy places the organism in Eukaryota, Viridiplantae, Streptophyta, Magnoliopsida, Fabales, Fabaceae. The record is from RefSeq and is a predicted model, not a curated record.
UAUUUAAAGGUAGCGUGGAGUGAAAAGAGAGAAAUAAAUGAACGUUCCUCCUCCUCCUCCUCUAUCUUAGUAACUUCCUUCUUUGCCUUCGUCCACCGCUGCUUCUCUCUGUUAGUACUUAGAAAGAGAUUUGAGUUCUGAGAUCUGGCCACGUGUCAUCGCUUCGAGUUGCAUUACUGCAACAGUCUAAUCACCUCACCUCACCGCACCGCACUUUCUUCGCUGCCACAACGAAUGCACUACUUUUUCCGUGGUUUCCACUAUUAUCUUUCCUUUUAUUUUCUAUUUUUUUUUUUAAAUUCAGCAUUAGCAAAGAUUUACAUUUGUCUCAUUCUCCUUUCAGUAUUAGGAAAUCAAUCUACAAUGAAUCGGAUCUAAUUACUUUUUCUUUUUUUUCAUAUUCUCUUUCGCUGUUAUUCUUUGCCACCAAACCCUAAUAACUAUAUUCUUUUCAAAUAAUCAAUGUCCUCUACGAAAUGGUGGAUCGUAGAAUAGAGAUCCACUUAAUUUCGUUGUUUCUAUCGUUUCCUUUAGAUCUGAUUCAAAUCUUAAUCAUUUCCCCUUUUAAUAGGUUAUUCUCUCUCCAGGAGGUUUCCAAAUUUGGGAAUCUAUUUGUGUGUAUGUGAUGCUCAGAUCACAUUGUUUUUGCUUUAUUGGGACAUAGAAAUUGACAGAAGAGAGUGAGCACACAGAGGCAUUCGAUAUAGACAAUUAUACCGUUACUUUUGCGUGCUCACUGCUCUUUCUGUCAACUUCCGGUGCCGGAAAUCACUUUCCUUCUGGUUCUGUUUCUUUCACCUCCCAUUAAUCACCGGCUUUCCCUCUUGCUCUCUCAAUAUACUCAAAUGGAAUAGGGAAAGGAAGAUCGCCGCUCCCUCCUUAAUACAACAGAUAAUAGAAGCAUAGAAAUGGGAUUAAUUAACACCAUGCAUGUUCCUGCUGUGUCUUCAUCUUGCUGUGACACUCCAGUUACAUCAUAAAAUCAAAUCAUGUAUGUACUAGCAGAGCAGUUAAAUUAUACAAAAAUGUUGGUGGACAGGCUUCUUUGAAGGUUAACAACGAAUCCACCAAAUAUGUAUAUAUGUGCAGGUCAGUGUAUGCACAGCUGUCAAUUACUGUUUAUUUUUUUGGCACAUGAAAUUAAUAAAUGCAAUUUUCAAAAUUUUAUUUCCAAAUUUAGUUAUAGUUUUUGUGUGCACUUUUCUGAUAAUCAUUAAUGUAUAUAAGGUCCACACAUCACUUUUAAUACAAAAAUCUAUAUAAGAAUUUAGUAUUUGAUGCUGAUUGAGUAAACAACUUAAUAGCAUAGACACUUCUUGUAAGCACUUAAAUAUAUGUUAUUUUUAUUACAAUUUAAGUUAAAAACAGUUUACAUACAUACCAUAAACUAUUUUUACGAGUUUAAAUAAAUUAAUCUAAAUAAAUUUUUAUUGUCUGAAUCUAGAAUAUUGAUUGAGAUACUUGUGGAAGAAAUUAUCAUAGGUGGUCUUCCAUAGAUCAUUGUUUAAAAAUCAUUAAAAACUUUAAUGAUGAUCGACGACACUUGUUAGAAGUAUAAGUUCACUAUCCUCACGGUGUUUUUGGCGGAGACAGUAAUUCAAUCGAUUUCAACUAUAUAAAAAUAAGGGAAAUCAAAUUUGUCCUUCAAACUCAACUCGUCGAACAGACAACAAUCAUAUCAUUGUUGUAGCUGUAAGGACGAGGAGAUCCGUUUACUUAUAUUUUUGAGAAGUGUCGUCGAUAGUUUUUAGAGUUUGGUGACAUUUAAACAUUGAUUCGCGUCCACUAUAUAAUUUGUCUCAAAGUUAUGCUCAAGAAUCUUUGACAAAUUCUAAGGUAGAUCAAGUUGAUAAGUGACCUACUAUAGACAGAUACUUAAACAUUGUUCAAAAUUUCUACAACGAUAGACAUUAUUUCAUAGAAAUAGAAGAUUAUGGUUCUCUUCAUUAUAAAAGCUGUGAAAGUAGUUACUUGAUUAAAUUUGUUUGAUAAAAUAAGGAAAAUUAAGAACGAGAAACCAUUAACUUUUUACUUUGAAGGAAUGUUGUCGAUCAUUGUUACAAUUUCAAAUGAUUUUUAAGCACUAAUCUAUGAUAGAUCAUAUGUUAUAUUGAUCCACCAAAAUCUUUUCUUUGUAAUUUCUCCUAAAGAAUAAAGAUGUUAAUAGACUAUUACCUUUGCGAAAAUGUUUGUGAUUUUCAUUUCUUUAAAACGUGUGUUUAUUUUGUUCGAGAGACAUGAGGGCAUAAAUUCAAAGGCUUUGCAAUUAUCAAGUUCGAAUAAGGGUUUGAAGUUUUGGAGCAUUACAUCAUCCAAAUUUUGCAAAGUCAUUUUCUUUGAUAGAGUACGCCGCCAUCAGAAAUAGAAAAAUCAAGUAUAUAUUUGGAUGUGUUUUUUUGUUGUAGUUGUUUUUCGCAGGUUGCUCUCAUUAGAGAUAACUAUGUGCAAGACACAUCAGAUAUUAAAUAUGGACAUUUUUUAUGGUCGAGAUUCAAAUUAUGGUUAAUCACGUUGUACAAAGAUCAAUCUCUUCUGUCAAAUCUAACUUCAAUCGGUAAGUCUAAUAUUGGAUGUUCAAUGGAAAGGGAAUGCAAUGAAAUAAGAUAUAACUUGUUUGGAUGUUGUUUAUGUUGGAAUGAAGAAAAAUGAUUAUAGUUCUGUCCUAUUGCUCCCAAAUUAGAUUAAGAUAAAAAAUGGAGCAAUAUGUGAAAUGGGACAAAAUGCAUUCUAUUGAAUUCUAUUAUAUAUUUAAAGUAAUCCAAAAAAUGUAAUUUACUAUGAAUAAAUUCAUUCUAAUCUCAUUUCACCCCUUUCAAUUAGUUCAAACAUAAAACACUGGAUGUAUUGAAAAAAGCUAUUUGGUGAAUAAGUAAUAUACUUCAUCUUUUUUCGUA